Molecule: long non-coding RNA, 703 nt
Organism: Etheostoma spectabile (orangethroat darter)
Lineage: Eukaryota; Metazoa; Chordata; Actinopteri; Perciformes; Percidae
Exons: 3
Source: RefSeq, a predicted model, not a curated record
ACCCUUAAUCUGAUUUUGCCAAUCAAAUGCUUUUGUUUAAAGCAAAGUUAGACAUUUUGGGAAACGCUUAUUUGCUCUCAGGCGACGUGUGAGAGGAGAAUAUUAACACACGAGCAACAAGAGCGGUAGCUAUCGAUCCUCUCCGCUACUCUGAUCUUUUUUCCACCAGAAAGUGAAUACACGCACUGUAUUUCCAAAAAUGUAAAAACUCUUCUUUUAAGCGGAGAAAGAUACGGCGGUUAUGCUAGUUAACCAAAGCAAGUUUGGAAAUUGUGGACAGAAGGUAAAAGCAGCAGACAACUGACAGAAAGAUAUUUGAAAAAGAGCAGGUCAACGUUGGACUCAUGUUUUUUUUGUUUGUUUUUUUAAGGGCUUCAUCUUUCAGGCAGAAAUGAGUGGGAUAAGUGUUUGUUUUGCAGGGGUUUCAACAUCUGUCUGUUUUAUUUUUUACAUGGGAGAAGACCACAGUUUGCCUUUUGUGUCUAAAAAUGCAUCAUGCUUUUUACUUUGAUCACUUUGGAGCAGUUUUUCUUUGCUGUACAGAGUAGAGUCGGGAGAAACAAGUUGUCAAGUGCCAUAGACCUUGAACUGUUUGACUAGGGGAGGACCUUUGACCCCAGAACCCAAGCAAUAUUCACAUGUUCACAUCCUUUUGCAGCAUAAUGGCUUAAAAGGAAUAUUGUUAAGCCUUCAUUUUCAUUCA